Molecule: ribosomal RNA, 1257 nt
Filed under: Vibrio parahaemolyticus
Lineage: Bacteria; Pseudomonadati; Pseudomonadota; Gammaproteobacteria; Vibrionales; Vibrionaceae
Description: partial 23S ribosomal RNA
Rfam family: Bacterial large subunit ribosomal RNA
Source: RNAcentral
GAGAACUCGGGUGAAGGAACUAGGCAAAAUGGUACCGUAACUUCGGGAGAAGGUACGCUCUUGAUGGUGAAGUCCCUUGCGGAUGGAGCUGACGAGAGUCGCAGAUACCAGGUGGCUGCAACUGUUUAUUAAAAACACAGCACUGUGCAAAAUCGUAAGAUGACGUAUACGGUGUGACGCCUGCCCGGUGCCGGAAGGUUAAUUGAUGGGGUUAGACUUCGGUCGAAGCUCUUGAUCGAAGCCCCGGUAAACGGCGGCCGUAACUAUAACGGUCCUAAGGUAGCGAAAUUCCUUGUCGGGUAAGUUCCGACCUGCACGAAUGGCGUAAUGAUGGCCACGCUGUCUCCACCCGAGACUCAGUGAAAUUGAAAUCGCUGUGAAGAUGCAGUGUACCCGCGGCUAGACGGAAAGACCCCGUGAACCUUUACUACAGCUUGGCACUGAACAUUGACCCUACAUGUGUAGGAUAGGUGGGAGGCUUUGAAGCACGUACGCCAGUAUGUGUGGAGCCGUCCUUGAAAUACCACCCUUGUAGUGUUGAUGUUCUAACGUCGACCCCUUAUCGGGGUUGCGGACAGUGCCUGGUGGGUAGUUUGACUGGGGCGGUCUCCUCCCAAAGAGUAACGGAGGAGCACGAAGGUGGGCUAAUCACGGUUGGACAUCGUGAGGUUAGUGCAAUGGCAUAAGCCCGCUUGACUGCGAGAAUGACAAUUCGAGCAGGUGCGAAAGCAGGUCAUAGUGAUCCGGUGGUUCUGAAUGGAAGGGCCAUCGCUCAACGGAUAAAAGGUACUCCGGGGAUAACAGGCUGAUACCGCCCAAGAGUUCAUAUCGACGGCGGUGUUUGGCACCUCGAUGUCGGCUCAUCACAUCCUGGGGCUGAAGUCGGUCCCAAGGGUAUGGCUGUUCGCCAUUUAAAGUGGUACGCGAGCUGGGUUUAGAACGUCGUGAGACAGUUCGGUCCCUAUCUGCCGUGGGCGUUGGAAGAUUGAAGGGGGCUGCUCCUAGUACGAGAGGACCGGAGUGGACGAACCUCUGGUGUUCGGGUUGUGUCGCCAGACGCAUUGCCCGGUAGCUAAGUUCGGAAUCGAUAACCGCUGAAAGCAUCUAAGCGGGAAGCGAGCCCUGAGAUGAGUCUUCCCUGAUACUUUAAGUAUCCUAAAGGGUUGUCGGAGACUACGACGUUGAUAGGUCAGGUGUGUAAGUGCUGUGAGGCAUUGAGCUAACUGAUACUAAUUGCCCGUGAGGCUUAACCAUACA